RNAcentral lists this ribosomal RNA (468 nucleotides) under uncultured bacterium. RNAcentral describes it as "partial 16S ribosomal RNA". It matches the Rfam family "Bacterial small subunit ribosomal RNA", at positions 28 to 507 of the family's 1533-position model. The record is from RNAcentral.
GACGAACGCUGGCGGCGUGCUUAACACAUGCAAGUCGAACGGAAGGGCCCUGCUUUUGUGGGGUGCUCGAGUGGCGAAAGGGUGAGUAACACGUGAGUAACCUGCCCUUGACUUUGGGAUAACUUCAGGAAACUGGGGCUAAUACCGGAUAGGAGCUCCUGCUGCAUGGUGGGGGUUGGAAAGUUUCGGCGGUUGGGGAUGGACUCGCGGCUUAUCAGCUUGUUGGUGGGGUAGUGGCUUACCAAGGCUUUGACGGGUAGCCGGCCUGAGAGGGUGACCGGCCACAUUGGGACUGAGAUACGGCCCAGACUCCUACGGGAGGCAGCAGUGGGGAAUAUUGCACAAUGGGCGGAAGCCUGAUGCAGCAACGCCGCGUGCGGGAUGACGGCCUUCGGGUUGUAAACCGCUUUCGCCUGUGACGAAGCGUGAGUGACGGUAAUGGGUAAAGAAGCACCGGCUAACUACGUG